AGUAUACAUGAAUUUGCUUCUGCCUUUGCCACCCCUGAGACAGCAAGACCAACAACCCCUUCUCUUCCUCUUCAGCCUACUCAGUGUGAAGAUGAUAAAAUGAAACAGUUGGUGAUGUUUCAGAGAACCCAACUCAAACUGACUUGAACAAGAGAAAUCAAUGUUUACUGCAGAGAACACAGAAGGCAGCAAGCAGCAGGGAAGGGAGGCGAACCAACGCAGCAGCCCACCGGGACCCAGGAGGACACACGCAGAGCAAGUCAUGGGAAGCGCAGCUGAAAACAAAUGGACGCUUAUCCCAAAUGCACAGGACACUUACCAAGGACUGAUGGUCUGUCAAAGUAAAGCUCAACAGCUUUGGCUGGCAGGACAGUUAAACUUUUGGAUGACAGAAAGUAACAGUGGGAAAUGGGACAACAUCUGCCAGCAACGUGAGAGGCCAAGACCAUGGCUGCUACAGGAGGGGUCAGCGUCGCAGUACACGGAUGGCGGCGGUUGCACAUGCAUGCCUGGGGAAUGUGAGUGUUCAGACAUGCCAGGAGUCCAGCCUCACCAGGAAACAGGCACACAGGGACAGAGGCGCAAACACUGAAAACUCUAGCUGAAUCCACUCGGCUGAACGGUGGUCACGGGAGCACGGCGCUGCGCUCCCCACAAAACUGCACCUGGGCCCCAGGGUGAGACAGGCGUGGAAGGUGCAGGGGUGCAGGUGGGGGCAGGGGCUCCCGGCUCAGAGCAGUAUCCAGGAACCCCCCUUCAGGCUGGAGCCCUGCCCUGAGCCCCCUGCAGGGGUGACUGUGGGACAGCAGCAUCAGGCCUAGUCUCGGCUGUGAAGUCCCCCCCACCUCCACGCAGGAUCCCCGGGAUUCUGUCAAGGUGGGGGCCGCCUGCUCAGCCCAGGCUCCCUGAACAUGUGGCUGGCUGGGUUUGCGGAAGAAACCAGGAGAGUGCCAACACCAGGCUUGCAAGCAAGAAGCUACCUGACCGCCUGAUCCUGGAGCACACCCCAUCCUCCCUGUGUUCCCUGGGCCUCAGCUGUUCCCCAGUGACCUUGGACACACCCUGCCCCGCCCUGGCUCCACAGGACCCCUGCCCAUCACCGCCUCAGCUCUGAGUCUCCCCUGGGGACACAACCUUCCUCCUGGUGCAGAGGUGCAGGACGCUGCCCCCAAGGCCCAUCUUCCUCUGCAGCAUGUUUUGAUGUCAGCUCAUUCACAGGAAAGAAACAAUCACAUCUCAGUGCCCAGAAUGGGGACCAAUAGGAGAGGUCACUGGGAAUAAAGCCCACAUGCACCCCAGGGUCCAUGGGCUCCCCAGAAACGCAGGUGGCCUCCGCCAGAGCCAGCAAGCCUAAGUUGCUGAUCGGCCCCUCCCUGCUUCCCUGUGUGGAAGAGGAAACAGAGGCCCAGACUAGUAGGGCUCUGCCGUGGUGACAGGCUGCGUCCCCAGACCUCUGGUCCCAGGGCUGGCUGGGAGUGCCCCUCCCUGUGCUCACUUCCUGCUCUCCUGGGAAAUGGCUCAGGGUUGGGGCCUGUGGGGACAGAUGCUGGCAUAGCUCACAAAAUGCUUGCACAAGGGACACUCCAUGGCAGGUCCCUGCAGCAGAGCAAAGUCACAACGUUCAGAGAUUCCCUGCACUCUGAGGCCCGCAGAGCCUGGCCGACCAAGUGAGGCUGGGAGGAUGGUGCCUGCUGGUCAGGGCGGCUGAGCAAGGCUGGGAGGAUGUUGCCUGCUGGUCAGGGCAGCCCUCCGAUCAGGGUGGCCGAGUGAGGCUGGGAGGAUGGUGCCCGCUGGUCAGGGCAGCUGAGCGGGGCUGGGAGGAUGGUGCCUGCUGGUCAGGGCAGCCCUCUGGUCAGGGUGGCCAAGCGAGGCAGGGAGGGAGGUGCCCACCGGUCAGGGCAGCUGAACAAGGCUGGAAAGAUGGUGCCUGCUAGUCAGGGCAGCUCAGGAGGUGUUACCCAGGAGGUGCUGUCCAGGCAGAGCCUAGGGCUGGUGUGGGUGUGCCAUGCUCCUGAGAAGUUUCUGGGUUGUGGCUUUAAUGUUCUCCUGCAGUGAGAACGCUGACACUUGGCCAAAGGGUCCUCACCUCUCCCCUAGUACACUUCUGAGAUGCCAGGAAGGUUCUGAACAGCAGAUUGAUUCCUGGGACUCCCCUCCAGGGUGGCCUUACUGGAGUCAGGAGCCCCCGCCCCACUAGGAUGGCUCUGCAGUGGCCUGAGGACAGCGAGCACUGGUCAGUGGUGCAAAGUUGCCCACUGUGAUGGUUUUGACCUUUGAUGGGAACCAACUGAAAGUCCUGCAGCUAUGUCUAGGCAUGUCAGAGGGUGCUUCCCUGCAUGUACUCUGCCACAGACCACUCUGCCGCAGACCACCCUCCCUGGGCCAGGAGACCGCUACACAGAAGGAGAUUCUUUUUUUUCUCUUUCGAGCACUUUUAUUCUCUUUUUCUUAAUCUCUGCUCCUCCUCUGAACUGAGGAAUGUGCAAAUCUUUUUUGUUAGUUUUGAGGUUGCUUCUUAUGCAUAUUUCAUCUGGAACUUUCCCCUUUGGGGGUGAUCUGUUCUAUCAGCCUGCCCGCUGCUAGAGAGGCCGAGGUGGUCCGGCCAGCCGUGCGCUGCUGCUGGUGUCUCUGUGGGCAUGACCUGGUGAGAUAUCAUUCUGCUUCUGGGGGUCCAUCCUAUCAGCCCUGUGUUCUAGAUUCCCCAGUGACUGACAUUUAACCAGUCUCCUCUGUCACUCUCCAGUGACAUGCACACACUGUUGGCAUGAACUGCAGAUGUCACAUUCUGUGGCUGAGAGCCUCAGUGUGCAUCUGUAGUAGGAAGACGUCAGUGAGGACUGCCCUGUCGCUGCUGAGCUGGUGCCGACUGUGCCUGGUCUACACUCCAGGUCUGCCAAAUGACUCAGCAAGGUCCUUCACAGCUCUUCUGAUCCAGGAUCACACAUCACACGUGCUUUGAUGCCUGCUUAUGAACAAUUUUACCUCCUGAGAUGUCCAUUUUUGGGAGUGUGAGCCUUCCUCUCCUGGUGACAGCUGGCUGAGGCCGUCCAGCCUCAGGACACACAGGGAAUGGCUGCAUAAGGAGAUCUGGGGCAGGGAGCCCACCAGGAUGUUCUGCCCUGUGGGGGGCAAUGCCGGCUGUGGUCUGCCGGCGGCAUCCAGGGACAGUCUAUCUAGGUGAGGCCGAGGCCGCCCCCGCUCGCUCCCUCACCCCCAUGCUGACAGCAGUGAGCUGACCGCAGAUCGGGGGAGCCCCACAGGGAGACUGGCCUCCCCAGCACACGCCCCGCAGUGCCAGACGUGGUCAUCACAGAGGCAGGUACACGGCACCACGGAUGUGCCACGUACCCCCAUCGGGACCAAGGGCCACUGAGAAACCACGAAGGCCAUGCAGCGACUGUGGCGGCAGGACCGUCAGGAGGCCAUAGGUGCCACGGCUCCCCUCUGGUGGUUCACCUGCCCACCUGCACCUGGGGUGGCCCCUCCAGUGCACUCCCGAGAGCAGAACACCCCCCCAGGCAACACGUCUGAUGAAGGCCAACAGCGCGAGUCCUCUGGUGUUUGGUGACGUCAGAGCUGUGCCGAAAGGCCUUCCCUCACUGCUCACACUUGAAGGGCUUCUCUCCAGUGUGGACCCUCUGAUGGCGAAUGUGGUCUGUCUUAUGCUUAAAGAUCCACCUCCAUUAACUGCACUCUUAGGGUUUCUUCCUCUGAAAAGAAAUGGACACGGGAACCCCCUCAAAGGCAUUUUUAAAUGAAGCGUGGAAGACAUCAAAGAUAUGCUCUUCUUCAGGACUCAGGCUUCUCCAUCGUUCUCUGUUCCUUGGAAGCGUGAGGGCUAAGGAGCUGAUGACUUCUCUCUGUUGGCCCCACUUCAAGAAUGGCUUGCUUCCCACACACCUCUCCACGCUCCCAGCGCGGGACUGACACUCUGCACCGGGAGGCCAAGGGCCACCAUCCUCUUGCUGGGAGAAAGUGUGACCUUUUGGUCAUAGGAGGGAGUGUGAUCUGACACCAGAGGACUUAAUAUAACAUUGCAGCGUUAACAUCUUCACUGGCAGAUUCAUGGACUUUUCCCCUCCUGAAUGCAUUUCAACACCUUGAAAUGAACGAUGCCUCAUGUCUCUGCAGGGUGGAUAUAGCUCUAACUCUCUGAAGCUGAUUAUAUGUCAAGUUCUGUGUGAAAUGAGAGACCAUGGGGAUUCAUUAUUGCUGGAGUUGAUGGUAUUGCAGUUUUACAACCAUCUAAUAAAUUAGCAUUUAAUACUGAGAGAUUUCAUCUUAAACUUAGAGGAUUGCUUUGUUUUAAAGAAGAUUUUUGCAAGGAGAAGCAAUGGAAACCAUUCAGAAAAUGUGGGAGAUAAAAAUCCUAUCCAAGAAAAUGGAUCUUGGAUCUUUGCAUUCACUUGAUUUGUCAGAAUAUUAUUCUGUGCUAAAAAAUAGAAGGGAUUAAAUGUUAAAAAUCACUGAGGCACAA
Molecule: long non-coding RNA, 4477 nt
Filed under: Pongo abelii (Sumatran orangutan)
Lineage: Eukaryota; Metazoa; Chordata; Mammalia; Primates; Hominidae
Description: lincRNA
Source: RNAcentral